UACGGAGGGGGCGAGCGUUAUUCGGAAUUAUUGGGCGUAAAGGGCAGGUAGGCGGCCCCAUAUGUCCUUUGUGAAAGCCCUCGGCUCAACCGAGGAAUUGCAGGGGAAACUGUGGGGCUUGAGUCCGGGAGAGGGUAGCGGAAUUCCCAGUGUAGCGGUGAAAUGCGUAGAUAUUGGGAGGAACACCAGUGGCGAAGGCGGCUACCUGGACCGGUACUGACGCUCAGCUGCGAAAGCUAGGGGAGCAAACGGG
This 253-nucleotide ribosomal RNA is filed under the name uncultured bacterium. Its description in RNAcentral is "partial 16S ribosomal RNA". It matches the Rfam family "Bacterial small subunit ribosomal RNA", at positions 524 to 776 of the family's 1533-position model. The record is from RNAcentral.